Molecule: long non-coding RNA, 2061 nt
Filed under: Sus scrofa (pig)
Lineage: Eukaryota; Metazoa; Chordata; Mammalia; Artiodactyla; Suidae
Description: lncRNA (ENSSSCG00025039713.1)
Source: RNAcentral
CUUCGUUACUCAGGAGAAAAAAAGAGGGAGAGAGAGAGAGAAAAUCAAGUCGCAGCCGGCUUGGCCCGGUGUUGGGGGCGGUCGCGCGGAACGGUGAGGCUGUGAGAACUUCCCCAGCUGCUGACUGAAGUGGGAAGUGAGGUGUGAACUGAGACCCCGGGAGAGAGGCCCUCCGGGUAGGACCUGGCCUCGGACUGGCGGCGUAAAGGGUGGCCUUGCCACCGACUGAGAGUGGUUGAGCUGGCCUCUGGCCGAGUGUGGGGAGAGAGGCUUCACUUCUUUGUACACAUGUGCAGAGGCUAUGAAGUCCAGGAUUAAGGUGCUGGCCAAUUCAGUUUCUGGUGAAGACUCUUCUGGAGUUGCAGACUUCUGAGUUUAUCUUCAAAUGGCCUUUCCCCAGUGGGCGUAUGUGGGGAGAGGGGAGAGCCAUCCUGCCUGAAACUCAGGAAACACAAGGUCCCUGGUUGUGUAAUAUGAGUACACUUGAAAGUUCCUCGUCCUUAUCUGGCAACCCAGAUGGAUAAAUACUGGCCCUGAAGAUGCUUUUCUUAAAACUGAGCACAAGUGGCUGCAGAACAGAGCUUGGGAAGAACCAGUUAUUCUUCUGCCAGUUCAAAACUGGGGGCCCCUUCCCUCUAGCAUUCAUCCUCUGCUUGCCGGGGCAUAUCAAUUUCACCCAAAUCACGUGGACUAAGGUGGUGAUGGUGGGCUGUGGUAGGUAUGAUUUCCCCAAAGAAAAUUCAGAUGAAGUCACCAGAGGGAAGAAGGAAGAAUGGAUGUUUAUGCAAAAGACGCAGAUGUCCACAACAGUUCCCACAUGGGAAGAGAAUAAUCCAGGUUUAAGAGCCCUGGCUUGGGACCCCAGUGUCUGGGGAUGGAGUCCCAGCUCUACCAUUUACAAAUUGUGUGACCAUGGCUGGAUCAUGUCACCAGUCAGUAUGGGUCUGUGUCCCCAUUAACAAAUGGGAGUGAUGGUCCAGCAUUGUGGGCCUGAAUCAGAGUGACAGCACAUUGCAAAGGCACCAUGUAAGCUCCAGCAGGUGUGUCACAGCUACUUGUGGUGUCAUGAAAUCUGAAGUCUCUGAUCCAGUGAAUCAGCUUCUGAAUAUUUAAUCAAAGGAAAUUAAAACACUAACUCAGGAGUUCCCAUCAUGGCGCAGUGGUUAACGGAUCCGACUAGGAACCAUAAGGUUGCGAGUUCGAUCCCUGGCCUUGCUCAGUGGGUCGAGGAUCCAGCAUUGCCGUGAGCUGUGGUGUAAGUUGCAGACACGGCUGGGAUCCUGCGUUGCUGUGGCUCUGGCGUAGGCCGGUGGCUAUAGCUCCAAUUAGACCCCUAGCCUGGGAAUCUACAUAUGCCGCUGGAGCGGCCCUAGAAAAAGGCAAAAAGACAAAACAAACAAACAAACAAACAAAAAAACACUAACUCAAAAAGGUAUCUGUACCCCCAUGUUCAUUGCAGCAUUAUUUACAAUAGCCAGGAUAUGCAAACAACCUAAGUGUCUAUUGAUGGAUGAAUCAAUAAAGAAAUGUGGUGUGUAUAUGUAAUGGAAUAUACUUCAGCCAUAGGAAAGAAUAAAAUUCUGCCAUUUUGCAACAACAUGGAUGAACCUUGAGGGCAUUAUGCUAAAUGAAAUGUCAGACAGAGAAAGACAAAUACCAUAUGAUCUUACUCAUAUAUGAAAUUAAAAAGAAAAACUAAGGUCAUAAAUACAAAAAGUAGAUUGGUGGUUGCCAAAGAUGGGGGGAUAGGAGAAUGGGCGAAAUGACUGAAGGGGGUCAAAAGGUAUAGACUUUCAGUUAUAAGAUAAAUAAGUCCUGGGAUAUAAUGUACAGCAUGGUGACUGUAGUUAACACUGUAUUGCACAUUUUAAUGUUUCUAAGAGAGUGGAUCUUAAAAAUUCAUCACAAGAGAAAAAAUUUAUAACUAUGUAUGGUAACAGAUAUUAACUACACUUAUUAUGGAGACCAUUUUUCAGUGUAUACAAAUAUUGAAUCAUGUUGUAUGCCUGAAAUUAUUAUAAUGUUAUAUGUCAAUUAUACCUAAAUAAAAAACAAAAUGAA